RNAcentral lists this ribosomal RNA (861 nucleotides) under Wolbachia pipientis. RNAcentral describes it as "bacterial SSU rRNA". It matches the Rfam family "Bacterial small subunit ribosomal RNA", at positions 95 to 994 of the family's 1533-position model. The record is from RNAcentral. Lineage: Bacteria; Pseudomonadati; Pseudomonadota; Alphaproteobacteria; Rickettsiales; Anaplasmataceae.
GUGGCAGACGGGUGAGUAAUGUAUAGGAAUCUACCUAGUAGUACGGAAUAAUUGUUGGAAACGGCAACUAAUACCGUAUACGCCCUACGGGGGAAAAAUUUAUUGCUAUUAGAUGAGCCUAUAUUAGAUUAGCUAGUUGGUGGAGUAAUAGCCUACCAAGGCAAUGAUCUAUAGCUGAUCUGAGAGGAUGAUCAGCCACACUGGAACUGAGAUACGGUCCAGACUCCUACGGGAGGCAGCAGUGGGGAAUAUUGGACAAUGGGCGAAAGCCUGAUCCAGCCAUGCCGCAUGAGUGAAGAAGGCCUUUGGGUUGUAAAGCUCUUUUAGUGAGGAAGAUAAUGACGGUACUCACAGAAGAAGUCCUGGCUAACUCCGUGCCAGCAGCCGCGGUAAUACGGAGAGGGCUAGCGUUAUUCGGAAUUAUUGGGCGUAAAGGGCGCGUAGGCUGGUCAGUAAGUUAAAAGUGAAAUCCCGAGGCUUAACCUUGGAACUGCUUUUAAAACUGCUAACCUAGAGAUUGAAAGAGGAUAGAGGAAUUCCUAGUGUAGAGGUGAAAUUCGUAAAUAUUAGGAGGAACACCAGUGGCGAAGGCGUCUAUCUGGUUCAAAUCUGACGCUGAGGCGCGAAGGCGUGGGGAGCAAACAGGAUUAGAUACCCUGGUAGUCCACGCUGUAAACGAUGAAUGUUAAAUAUGGGGAGUUUACUUUCUGUAUUACAGCUAACGCGUUAAACAUUCCGCCUGGGGACUACGGUCGCAAGAUUAAAACUCAAAGGAAUUGACGGGGACCCGCACAAGCGGUGGAGCAUGUGGUUUAAUUCGAUGCAACGCGAAAAACCUUACCACUCCUUGACAUGAAAAUC